RNAcentral lists this transfer RNA (75 nucleotides) under Dehalococcoidia bacterium. RNAcentral describes it as "tRNA-Met". It matches the Rfam family "tRNA". Rfam says of the family: Transfer RNA (tRNA) molecules are approximately 80 nucleotides in length. Their secondary structure includes four short double-helical elements and three loops (D, anti-codon, and T loops). The record is from RNAcentral. Lineage: Bacteria; Bacillati; Chloroflexota; Dehalococcoidia.
GGGCCCGUAGCUCAGUGGCAGAGCGCCCGGCUCAUAACCGGUUGGUCCCAGGUUCAAAUCCUGGCGGGCCCACCA